GCAGGAUUGAUUGAGAGUUUAGAAAAAUGACUGACAGAUGAAUCAGAUGUGAAUGUCUCAGGUUUUAUUUACACUGUCUAAAUCAGAUCUUCAUCUUUCAACUGGAUUCUGACAGUAUCUAUGUUUUCUCUUGCUUCAUUGUUACUCUUUGUAUCAGUCUGCAUUUUGUUAGUGAAACAAAAUAUUUGAGUCUGGAUAACUUAUUCAACAAAGAAGGUGAUUUAACUCAGAGUUAUGGGUGUUGAGAGUCCAAAUACCAUGUCACUAACUUCCUCUGCCUCUCUCCCUCUUUUCAGCCCAUUUGCAUGGUGGUGGAAAUGCAGGGAGUAUCAGCUGUGAGCAAUGCUGCAUUCAGACUUUGUGGAAUCAGAAGCUUAAUCAAUCUGAAGGACCCUCAUUGAGGAAAAGAAUGCAAAUUAUAAAUAUAAAAUUAGAAAUAAAUUUUAAAUUAUAUUUAGAAUGCAAGAG
RNAcentral lists this long non-coding RNA (468 nucleotides) under Fukomys damarensis (Damara mole-rat). RNAcentral's name for it is "lncRNA (ENSFDAG00000031362.1)". Lineage: Eukaryota; Metazoa; Chordata; Mammalia; Rodentia; Bathyergidae. The record is from RNAcentral.